Podarcis lilfordi (Lilford's wall lizard) is the source of this 12113-nucleotide non-coding RNA. The record is from the annotation of a GenBank genome assembly. NCBI's taxonomy places the organism in Eukaryota, Metazoa, Chordata, Lepidosauria, Squamata, Lacertidae.
UGAGGUCAGUGCAGUUAAAUCUUUAUUCAAGGAAACCCUAGCCCAAGCUUAAUGGGCUCAGCCGCUCUUUCUAGGAGGCCUUGGUCUGAUGAGGCAAAUGAAGCUGCCCAAGAAUAGUGCAAGUGGAUGCCAGUCUCAGCACAGGAUUAUCCUAGUUUAAUAGACAUUCACUUUCCUGAGAAAGUGUGGUAAUUGUAGUUCUGUGAGAGGGUUUGAGUCUUCAAGAGAAUGCUCAGCAGCCUCAGCAAACUACAGUUCGCAGGAUUUCAGGGGGUAGAAGGAGUUGUGGCAGUCAAACUGCUAUAAAAUUAUGUAAGCUUCUAUCGCAAAUAUUCCUUCCAGAGUGGAUGCUUACCCCUUCCUCCGGGUGGGUGGUUGUUGCGGAUCCCCAUGCUCGGUCACCAUCCUUGGACAGCUAGAACAGAAUGCUCAUGGCCAGGUGGCCAUUGAGGGAAUUCCCCCUGGCCGCAUGGAUAGCUGGCUCAAGUUCCCGCCAGCUGCUGCACCUCAAAUUGGCCAAUGUGUGGCCUGUUCUGGGGGGUGUGCCUCUCUGGCAGAAAGGGCAUUGGCUGCACGCACACCCAGGCAGUUGGUGAGGCAUAAAAGCUGGCUGCACCUUAAUAUGCCUUCCAGAGCUGCAGAAGAUGUCCAAGACAAGAGAGCAAGUCUCAUGGAAUUUAGGGACUUGUGCCUCACUGAAUGCACCAAAGAUUACAGUUCACAUGUGUCCCCUCUCUUCCAGCUCUAAUGGCCAGCAUGGACAUUUCUUUGACUGGAUCACACUCUUCACUCCACUAACACUUCGUGGAAGGUCCCAGGCUUGGUAGUUUAGGUGCCUGGAGGCAAAGGGCAGCUGGCCAGAGCUUUAGAUGUGUCAGCAGCUGCAGAAGAAUAAUCUCUGGAGGGACAGUGCUGCCAGGAAGCAUCCCUAGGUGCAACCUUCCCAAAACUCACAUGCCUUUGCCUGUGUACAUGUGUAUAAAAGUAUUUUUGGAACUGGCUGUACACUCUUAUUUGUAGUGUGAACAGUGAUGGCUUAGGCUUCCAUCGCAGUUCAUUCAUUUUCAUAUGAAAGCAGGAUGUUCCUUUGGUACGUUGCAAAACUGGAUUGAAGGGACUUGCUGGGUGGUGGGGGACUCUUUCAAAUGAUCAAAUGUUCCUGUGCAAAUAUACUGUUAUGGGAUUGUGGCUGGUCAGGUGUCUUCUCAUAAAUGUAAACAAUAAGAGUGGUAAUAUUCGGGGUCGACACAUUCAAAAUGCACUUAACUAAAUCAUGACUAUAAAGUCCAUUGCUUUCAGUGAGUCUGCUCAAAGUGUGACUCAGUCAGCUGUCUCUCUGAACGAAUAUGGGGUUGCCCCUGUAGAUGGUCCUUUGGACAUCCUCGCUUACUCCCAAAUGGGCUAAGUCCACCUUGCUAUACCUGGGAGCCCUCCUGCUCAUUCUGCUGAAAGUGGCCCUGGACCUCUUCCCUAAAGUCAUGCUCUGGUGAUACCUCCAGAUCCAUCAUUUGAUUAAGAGAUAUGAUUUUUAAAAUUUUAAAAAGCCUAGUACAUACUUGCCAAAUAUCAAUUUUUAAGGUUCGACUUAAAGCGCUUCUUUGCUCUUGAAUCUGAGUGAAACUUAAUGUAACUUGCAUGUCAGAGUGCAGAACAGAUUCCCAAGGCAAGUGGUGGAACCCUGUUGCUUGAGACUCUUAAAAGUGGAUUAGACAGCAGACUCAGAAUUGCCCUGUAGGGAACAAUCUCGCAUUGACAGUGUGAUGGAAUAGAUGACCUCAUAGUACAGCUGUGUGUGUGAGAGAAAAAUGUCUAAUAUACGAGUUUUUCUUCUCCCAUGAAGCUAUGCAGUGAUAAACCGCCAAAGAAAUAAACUUAGACAUAUAGUGUGAUCUUGGAUGGUAAAGCUUGCCUUGUAAAGUUCCACUGCAGACCUGUUCUAUUUUCAGUCUUGCAUAUUUCCAGUUACAUUCAUUGCAUUGUAGAUAUAAUAAACAGAGAUAACCUGUUCUUCAUAUGCUCCAGAAGAACACAAAGCAUCUUCAUGCUUCUGGUUACUAUAUUUCAGAUUUUACAAGCCUAUGGGAUAAGAUUUCUUCUCUGAUCUUUGCAGUCCUGAGGUUAAUCAUACAAUAAAUCAGUGUUUCCUAGACUUUUUGGUACAUGGGACACAGUCCUCCUCUGGAUUGCAACUGGAGCUUCACUCUUGCACUUAUUCCCAAUGGUCUUCUGAUUUUUCUGCUUAGGUUCUUUCCUGGGUUGAGUUCAAACAGACUUUUGUUUAGGGCCUGCUUUUGUGCAGGAGUGCAGACAGUAGGAGAUGGUACCAGCGGUGACUGGUGCCUGUUGUGACUGCUGGGGUGGAAAGCAGUGAGACCAGACGUGGGUGGAGCCACCCUCAAUGACAGAUGGAACCAUUCCCUGAUUGGCUGAAAAUAAGAAAGCCAACUGACUUUGGUGAACCUUUACAAACCAGCCUCCACUGGCUACCAGUAUGGCAGAGCCAUGGAGCUGCCGUCCUGACUCCAGCUUACCUGGAGAGGACUGCAGGGAGGUUGGGCUGCACAGGCCCACCACACACAUCCCCAACCUCACAACCGCCCUGCCCCACACCAGUCCAGGUAAGUUGCAGUGAUGUUGGUGUUGGAAAGGCAGUUCCAUGGCACUACCUCACCCCACUGGACUGCUCCUGGCUACAAGAAAGGUGCAGUCCAUUUGUGUGUGUGUGUGGACAAGCUGAGUUUGAUUCCCUGGAGAGCAAUGUGGUGCAGGGGUAGGAGUGCCACACUAGGACUAAUUUUUUUGAUAAUUAUCAUAUUUUACUCUUUUUUGCAAACCGCUUAAAGGCUUUAUUAAAACCCAUCAGUACAUGAAUGUUGUGAAAAAUAUAAGACGGUCCAGAUCAGGGAUUCCACCGAACAACUCUAACGUAGAAUUCUUGACAUGCCUUGCUGAGAACUUCUUUCAGGUGGUGGAAGAAGGAAUGAGGGAAUCAACUGUCCUGGAUGAACCUAACCAAUAGGGCAGAUGUGGUUGAUGAGAUCAAAGUAGUGUAAACUGUGAGGGAAAGUGACCAUAUAAUGCUGGAAUUAUUGAUCUCAUGGAAAGCUCAUGGUGUGUGUAGUCAAACAUGUGCCUUGGAUUUCAGGAAAGCUGAUUUUAAUAAGCUCAGAAACGCUAGGUGGAAUUCCAGUGCUAGAUAAACUAAUUGGUGAAGGAAGCCUCCUAAGGCUCUGUCCUGGGCUCAGCACUCUUCAAUGUUUUUUAAAAGUUAUUAAUAGCCUAGAUGAAAGGCUGGGGGAAUCACUAUGCAAUAUAAAGAUGACACACAAUGGGGGGGGGAACAAUAGAUAACACCCCAGAAGACAGGAAUAAAAUGCAAAAUGGCUGUGAUGGAAUGGGAAACUGGACUGAAAGUAACAAAAUUUAAUUCAACAGGGACAGAUGCAUAGUUUUGCACCGGGGAAGAGAAAUCAAAUGCAGAGGCAAGGGAUUGGAACCACCUGGUUUGGCAGUACUACAUGUGAAAAGGAUCUUGGGAUAGCAGCCAAUUACAAAAUAAACAUGAUUCAGAAAAAUGAUGUGGCUUCAUAGAAGGCAAAUGUGGUUUUAGGUUCCAUCACAGAACCAUUGUUUCCAAGAUACAAAAAGUGAUAGCUCCACUUUAUUCUGCACCAGGGCCUGUCCAGAUCAAUGUUUUAUUGCAGGUGCAUUCCGCAACAUGUUCUUGACACAGUAGCGCAUUUGUGGUGGAUUUAUUCUGCUCUACUAGUUGUUGUGGGAUGCUUUCCCAGUGCUACCACGCUAUUGCUGUUUGGAGGGACAACAGUAUAACAAAAGUGGGACAAAAAGAAAUAAAUAAACCAGAACAUUUGUGGUGUAAAACGUUACAGGAUUUCCACGGAAAGCUAUCAGAUAUAACUGGAAAUAAAACAGUGUGACUGCCUCAAAACUUCCUCAGGCACAAACAGCUUUGAAAAGGGGGAUCACGUAUGACUGCCCCGAUAGAAUCAUGAGUGUACAAUAAAAAGUACACGUGGAAGGCCCCAUAGAUGAGGGGAAAGACUUGUCCUUAGCUGUCCUAGACGGUAGGACUAAAUAGAACAGGCUUAUGUACGUAGCAUGAAGGUACAUUUCAGCUGAAUAGUUUGACAACGGGGCCAAUUGUCUAGAGAGCUGGUGCACUCUUACUGGAGGGUAAAGAUGGACUUCCUAGCUUUCACUUCCUAGCUUGAGCAGAAGUUUAGAAUAGAUGGUUUACUAGACCCUCUGGCUCUGUGAUUCUGUUAAUCUCAUGGAGAGCUGCUGCCAGUUAAAGUUGAUGGUGCUGAGGUAGACAAACAGACAGUCUGACCUGGGACAGACAGCUUUCUAUGUUGCCAUCUAAGAUAGUUCCAUUUGCCCAUCUACUGUUGAAGUCAGAACUGGAAGCCCCUGCAUUAAAUGUGCCCCCACCAGAGGGAUGUUCUUUGGCCCUCAACUGUCAACUGGGAAGCACAAAGGAGACAGGAAGGAAGUUUCUAUGGGAACAUAGGAGGCGGCCUAAAACCUCAGGCCGUGGAUCCAUGGCUCCACCUCAGGACAUGGAUCUGGCUCAGUGUUGUCUACACUGACAGACUGGGUUUCAGACAUGGUUCUUUCCCUGGAGAUUGACCUUGGGUUCUUCUACAGGCAAAACAGAUGUUCUGUCACUGAGCUGUUGCCCAGUAGAAUUAGUUGGCGGCCUCUUUGAGUAUUCAGGGUUGAGCCUUUGACCUGCCAUCCACGUUACCCUCUUCAAAUGGCCAUCUGGGGGAGGGAGGGGAAAAAAGACCUGCUGACUGAGGGCAGAUUCACACCAUGCAUUUAAGGUAUAUUCAAUGCAUAUUUAAAGCACAAGGAAUCCUGGGAAGUGUAGUUUCUCCCUCACAGAGCUGUAAUUCCCAGAAUCCUUAACAAACUACAGUGGUACCUCAGGUUAAGUACUUAAUUCGUUCCGGAGGUCCAUACUUAACCUGAAACUGUUCUUAACCUGAAGCACCACUUCAGCUAAUGGGGCCUCCCACUGCUGCUGCACCACUGAAGCACGAUUUCUGUUCCAAUCCUGAAGCAAAGUUCUUAACCUGAAGCACUAUUUCUGGGUUAGCGGAGUCUGUAACCUGAAGCGUAUGUAACCCGAGGUACCACUGUACAGUUCUCAAAUUGUAUGUGCUUUGACUGGAGUGGCCCUUGACUGUCUCCUGUUGCCAUGUAGCCAAUAAAAAAAAUGGUAAGGCCGGAAAAGAGCAGAGGGCUCCUUGGCUUUUAAAAAUACGUGCCGAGGAGCCCAGUGUCCCUGGCAAGAGAAGACAGCCCAGAUCCUUUCUUCCUAAGCCUUGGUAUGCUCCUACUGUUAGCUCAGACAUUCAAACUAUGCUCAUGCAUGCUUGCUCAUACAGGUGAUUUUUCUAAUACACUAACGACAGAAGACAGCUUCUCACCCAACAUAUAAAGUCAUCUGUUAUUUUUCCAGCUAGGGAAAUUGUUAGUUUUUAAUGUUGCUUUUUCAGCUGGAACAAUUUAGCGAGCCAGGAUCAAUGUGAAAUGCUGCACAUCAAUCAUUUUCUAUGGAUCACAAACCAAAGGCGAGUAAAAGAAGAAGAAGGGGGGGGGAGAGGCUUUGCUCAUCGGCACUAAAUCAAGCACCCCGUCCGUUGCCCCAUUUUUUAUUUUUUUAUUUUUUUUGCACAGAAGGAGCAAAAUGUUUACACGAAUCGUUUUGCAUCACUUCAGUUAUAUAAUGAGAAGUAGCUUACAUUUAAAGGGUAGUAUUUCUACCACAUUACAUCUGGAAUAUGAUUCUCCAUGGAGUUGGAUCUCUUUUGGCUGUACUAACUCAUCAUGUGCUGAAGGUCUCUUAAUAUUUUUCCAUUCUAAAUAACUUCUGAAGUUGUUUAUUUUUUAUAUACAGAUGUUGUUAUGACUAUAUUGUGUGCAAGCUAGCAAUGGACAAAUUUGUUGAUGCUGGUUAUUCUCAGCUCUUAAUUUUCCCAGUCUUAAAUUCAGACCCCCUCACUACUGUAUCAAUUUGCAAUUUUCUUUAUAAAAACACCCCUGUACACAACAAUGUGCAAACAUUCUCAUGUGCAACUCUCUCAAGAUACCCAUUUUUGUACGCAAUCUUGCCUAGUAUAUGCAAUUUUCAUGAACACAUGCAUUCUUGUGCAUGUUUACUCCUAAUAUAUGCUUUUUGUCUGCCUCCUUUGGUUGGAGAACUACAUUAUGAAAUUUGGAGGAGUGCAAAUUUUGAAGGAUAGCUGUGCUUCGGCUUGCAUAUCAUUUAGAAAAAAUUAAAAUGUGGACUAAAUGACCCUCCCCCUCACAUCCUUAUGUGCAACAAUAUCUUGCUAUUCAGAAGGGAGGAGAACCCUUUAGACCAACGUUUCCGAAACUUGAGUCUACUGCUGUUUUUGGACUAUAAUUCACAUCAUCCCUGAACACUGGUACUGCUAGCUAGGGAUGAUGAGAGUUGUAGUCCAAAAACAGCUGGAGACCCAAGUUUGGAAAGCACUGCUUUAGACCAGUGAUGCCCUCCAGAUGUUGUUGGACUGUAACACUCAUCAUCCGUAAUCAUUAGCCAUGCCUACUGGGGGUGAUGGGAGCUGAAGCCCAACAGCAUCUGAAGGACCACAGGUUUUCCAUCCUUGGUUUAGUGUUGCAUCCAAACUGUGUGUAGGGGGUAGGGUCAAUGGGUGUGAUCCUGUGCCUUCCUCCAUCCAUCUCCAGUGAACGGUAUGAAGGACCAUCUUAUCAACAACUGAAUCUACACCUCAGUUAUCUUUAUCAAUGAUAUCUGAAGGACAAAACCAAAAUGUUAAAGCCAAGGACCUGCUGUUAUAUAUUUUAUUUGCAGCAUGAUUAUCUAUAGCUGAGGCAUGGAGAGCUCUUACAAACCAUUGGUUCAUUUUGCACAGUGUUGUCUACAGUCACUGAGUAUCAAUCAGCAGCUCUCCAAUGUUUCAGAAACAUCUUUCCUAGCCCAAAGUGGAGAAGCCAAAGGACUGAACCUGGGAUGUUCUGCAUGUAAAGCAUGUGUUCUUCCAUUGGGUUAUGGGUGCUUCUCCUCCUUAAGAUCUAUUAAUUGCUGUAAAUCAAACUGCAGGGUUCAUCCACACUUCUGCUCGUCCCAUUAUUUCCCUUAAACUAAUUAUAGUGACAGAGUAGCUCAGUUCUCAUAAUGAAGGCAGAGAAUGGGGAAUGAGAGGCUCCACUUCUCCACUAAGAAGGAACCUCCCAGUAGAUAAGAUGAGCCCAUGAUAAUACAGCUACCCAGCAAAGAGAAACAAGAAAGCGCUUAUUCUCAGCUGCUGAAUUGUAGACCAAAAUACUGACACACACUUUGGAGACAUGGAUAUCUUGCAUUUUGCCUUAGUCUGUAGACUGUAGGUGAUUAUGUUUCUCUCUGUAUAUUUUGAUGCACGUUUGUGAUCUGUUGUGUUAUUCUUUUUUUUUUAACCCUCAGGCUCUGCAGAAGUCUUAAAUUCAGGAGGGUAAAUCUGUGAUGUAAAUGGGCAGCAAGUUGCCCUUUUAAACUCUUAUUAUAAGAGAAUAUUGUACUGUUAAUGAAUAAUGGAAAGGGGGAGAAGAAGCUCAAGAGAAACAUUCAAACAGCAGGGCAUACAUUAUUGCAUCUCCACAGAAGCAUCUGAAGUAGCGCUUGCAAACUUAUUUAUCCUGCUACUCAACCAAAAUGAUGCAUGUCAUUUGCCAUGGCAACCCUUCCUUCAUCAUAUGUGCCUAUAUAUUGCUUCAGAUGUGUGGGCCACUUUCUUAAAAAGAAACAAACGCAUACCCAGACAUCGAUGUCACAUGAAAUCCUAUUCAUUUCACAGUGCUUUGAUGUGAAAACAUGUACCUCAGGACACAGACAUCCAUUUCUUCCCUCUGCCCCAUAUUAUUGCUGUUCUGUCUUCAAGUAUCUGUGGCAACAAUGUGUUUCAGACAGAAGUCUCCUGUUGCCCAUCUCUUUCCAAGAAGAGAUUAGUGAUACAGGACCACCCUUUGACCAAGGCGCCUCUGUUCUUCUGGUUCUAUUCGUCAGUGAGGGAGACAGUGAAGUGUGAGCUAUGUAAAUACAGAUCUCCAGGAUCUCUGGGAAAAAGGCAACCUUAAGCAGUCUUCUCCGUAAUAGGAAUGGACAAAUCUGUCAGUGUUGGUUUCUAGUAGUUUCUCGUUUUUCCAGUCUGUUUCCCCCAUUUCCCAAACAGUUUAUGGUGGUUGUUUUUAAAGAGAUCCACACAAGAAUGUGCACAUUUUGUGUAAUUUCCCCUAAGAUAUGCGUUUUGUGCACAAUUCUGUCCAAUAUAUGCAUUUCUGCAAGCAAUUUCUCCUGAUACAAUGCAUCAUUUAACAUAUAUUUUCAUGAAUGUAGUGUUUUGUAUGCACUUUCCCCUAAUCUUUGCAUUUUUAUACACAUUGUUGGGUUGGAGAACUGCAACGUAAAAAUCUGGAGAGUUCUACAUUUCAAAGAAGAGCUCAGGUUUUGUUUGCAUGCUGGUUCUGGAGCUGUGAAUUAGGGAGCACCUGUGUGAUUCUACCUAUGUGUGCUUCUAGAGGAGGUGGUGGUUUUGUGAUAUAUGGUGUGUGUGUGUGUGUGUGUGUGUGUGUGUGUGUAUGUGCGUGUGUGUGUGUGUGUGUGUGUGUGUGUGUGUAGGCUGAGCAUAAGAUGGAAGGGCCCACAGCGUUAAUACUCCAAUAGAUAUUGGUUCCUAUUAGGCAUCCAAGCCCCUGUCCCCACAAGUCAUACUUCUGGAUUCAGCACAGAGCAAGUUAAAUCUUUGUGCCUUUUCCUAGGUCAGGUUAAAGAUGAGACUUUCUCACAUUCACCAAUGAUAUCACCUCCAACUGAAGAAGGGGAGGGGAAAAAGCUUUCCCCCACCCACAUCUGCAAGUAUCUCCAGCUAGUAGCACUAGCUCUUUAGUCAUGUAAAGAGAUACCGGUAAUUAACAGACUUCUAAUUGAGGCACUAAGUCAACUAAGAGAAUCUUUUGACUACUUUAGCAGCCUCUGUUUCUACACAAUCCCAUCAUAUGGAUACAAAACAUCAAAGCCAACCCACCCAGUCUUAUAAUAAUAUUUUCAAGCAUCUGAAGAUGAGAAAAGAAAAUAGUAAGCUGUUAUAGGAUUUUCUGUUCGUGUUAGAAUAGGCCCAUGAAAGAUAACAACAUCCAUCUCCUCACUUUCACCAAGUAUAUCCUAGCUCUAGGUUUAGGCUGUAAUCCUAGUCUCACUGGAGCACUGUUAUUCUCUCUUUUUGUCUUCCUGCCAAUUUGGCGUCAAGGGCCUGCCUCAUGUCCUGUCACAGAAAUGCAUUCAGGAAAGGCCCUCACCUGGCUGUUAGCUUUGCCAUUCAUAUUUGUUAUGUUCUUUGAAGGUUGGUUUGAAGUUAAGCAGAAGCCAUGUUUCUAAUAAAUCUUAAGUAGAGACCCUUUAUGCGAAUUAACAUCUAAGUCACUCCUUGGAGGUUUUUUAAUGUUCCAAAAAUAGUUCCCAAGCUUCUGCCAAAGUAGAUGUUGCCAGAAUUUCCAUGGAAAGCAUUAUCAGUGUGGAUGGGUUGAUGCCAGUCAGGGUACAAAUAAUGGCCGCCCAAACCCUUCUCCUCUUCCUGCUUCAGCUGAUUUGUGGCAGACGGUGUGUGUGUGUGUGUGUGUGUGUGUGUGUGUGUGAGGGGGGGGAUUAUUAGGUUUUUGAAAUGAAAUCAUGCUCCCAAGUUCAGAAGAAGAUCACCAAAGCCUUCCCCUCCCCUUUUCUUUAAGUCUUUGACAAAUAUGCCUCACCAGAGACUCUUAAGGAAACCAGUCAUGGACCAAGACGUGAAAGGCUGUCAUGAGUAGUUUACAUCUGGCUGGGAGACAGAAAGCAAAAGCCAUGGAAAAAAAUGAUCAGCUGAAAGUGGCAGAAGGUGAGUGCCUUUACCAAGGGCCAAGGUUCAUGAUGGAGAAGGACCCAGAACAACAUGUCAAACUAGGAUGGCUAAUUGAAAUGCAGCAAUGACCAUUUUAAGAUGGCUCUCACCUUUGGCUCUCUCAAUCUUACCAGACUCGACUUCAGACAAUGAGCCAUUUCACAGGCACUUGGCACAUCACAAAAAACAGGAUUUGCCAACAGAUGUAGCCCUGACAGGGGUCAAUAGCCCAUCCUAGCUCCAUGACAUGCAUCAAAUUAGGUAGUUUUGCAAUGAACUGGGAGCUGAAUUAGUCAGGGAGGGGGCGGAGCAACAGCUAGCAACCAAAGGGGUGUCACCCAGGCACAGGAAGUCUGUGUUGGGUCACAAACCUCACCCACUGCUUCGAUGAGUGAGCGGUAAUUUCUUCUCCAUCCCUACUGUCAUGAUCAUCUGUUCAUCAUUGCUCUCUUUCAUAUGCACACAUAGGGUGAAAACGGAGAUCAUGAUGAAUGCUUUCUCUGCUUUUGUCCUAAACAUACAUACAAAACAGAAACAGGUCUGAACCAGAUGUGACAUGCAGUUACAUGUCUCUGCACUGAUUUCUUUUUAAAACCAAAAGCAGAUUUAGGAGGUUAAAGUUUGAGCAGAGGGAUGGUGGGUGAAGGGACUGCUCAAUCCUUUCCCUCUCCAGCUUUACUCCCAACUUGAAAGCAAACCCCCAGGCUUCAUUUCUUCAGACAUGGGGAAAAUCAAGAUCUGGUGGUGGGUGGUGGUGAUUUUGAGUGAGGAAAGGGUUAAGCAGUCCCUUCGCUCUGCUUUUUCUCCACUUGAACUCAGACUCCUGAAACUACUUUUGGUUAUAAGGAUACCAGAGGAGAAAGGAUACAUGUCACUCAAGACUAGGGAUGAAAAAAGGCAUAGUUUUCUGUUCUGCCCUGUAUCUGUUGCAUGCAGCCCUGUUCCCAUUCUGCUGUAGUUCAGGUUCCAUAAAAACCAUUAUUUUGCUCACUGUUUGUUGCAGCCAAAUUUAGUAAGGCAAUUCAUUACAUUAUUGUCAACAGAAUUAACUACACUAUAGUUAUGUGAUUCAGUACAUCAUCGACAAUGUACUGAAAAGCAUUGCAGACUCGGGGGGGGGGAAUAAUGACAGUGAAUUCCGAUUCACUGCCUGAAUCUCAAUCCUGUUUGCAGGUGGACAAGUGAACCCACUCAAUUUCUGAUGCCAUUUCCCACUUUGGUGGAAUUCUCCUACUCACAACUGCUAGUUUGGAUCAUGUGGGCAAGGCAAUGUGACCUAGAUUCAUGGAGAAGAGGGCUAUCAAAGUCAUGAUGGUUAUGCUCUACCACCGUGGUAAGGAGACUGCCUUGCUUUUGAAUGACAGUUGCUGGAAACCACAUGAGGGGAGAGUGCGCCUGUGCUUGAUGGUUUCCCAAAGACAUCUGGUUGGCCACUGUGAGAACAGGAUGCUAGACUAGAUAGGCCAUUGGUCUGAUCUAGCAGGCUUUUCUUAUGUUCUUAGAUUUCACCAGCUUUCUAGAGUAUACACCCCAAAAAAGGAGGGGGGGGGAAAGCCCAACUUGGGAAAGAAACCAGCUUUCAUUCUGACAAGUCAUUUCUUCAUACAUAUGCUAUGUAGAUGUCACCUCCCUUAGAUUAACGUUUGCUGUCUGGCUCAUCUGUAGAUUGCCCCUAAGCACAACAGAAGCAAAUGGAAGGAAAGGACCUAUUCCUGGCUGUAAGCAUCAUUCAGAUCUGCAUUUUCCAGAGAACGGAUCAAUCAGGCACAUCAUGUCCUUUGGUCACGAGCAGGAUGAAGUGUGAGGGACACAGAGAAAAUGCUUUACAGAGGCUUUGGAAAGCACUGGUGAAGGGGAAAGCUGUGAUGGACUGCACAGAUUUUCAGAUGUCUCUUUGAAGCUGCUGGGCUUUGGAGGGGAACCAAGAUGUCUAGGGAACUGCGCUUUUUCAAAACCUGGUGAAUAAGCUUCUUCUUCUUCUUUGGUUUCUCUUGAUGCAUUUUAAAGUCUUUGAAAACUCCAGUCCUAUGAGAAGCAAAGGGCUGCUUGGGAACUUGUUCUGGCUGCCGUCCUUAUAAACAAAACCUCUGUUAUCUACCAACUCAGGAGAAGCUGCCAGGUGUGAACAAAGGAAACAGUUACUUUCAGGGGAUGGGAGUCUUUGAAAAACUCUAUUCUCCCCAAACCGGAGUG